AUUGAACGCUGGCGGCAGGCCUAACACAUGCAAGUCGAACGGUAACAGGAAGACGCUUGCUUCUUUGCUGACGAGUGGCGGACGUGUGUGUCAUGUCUGUGAAACUGCCUGAUGGAGGGGGAUAACUACUGGAAACGGUAGCUAAUACCGCAUAACGUCGCAAGACCAAAGAGGGGGACCUUCGGGCCUCUUGCCAUCGGAUGUGCCCAGAUGGGAUUAGCUAGUAGGUGGGGUAACGGCUCACCUAGGCGACGAUCCCUAGCUGGUCUGAGAGGAUGACCAGCCAAACUGGAACUGAGCAACGGUCCAGACUCCUACGGGAGGCAGCAGUGGGGAAUAUUGCACAAUGGGCGCAAGCCUGAUGCAGCAAUGCCGCGUGUAUGAAGAAGGCCUUCGGGUUGUAAAGUACUUUCAGCGGGGAGGAAGAGAGUAAAGUUAAUACCUUUACUCAUUGACGUUACCCGAAGAAGAAGCACCGGCUAACUCCGUG
RNAcentral lists this ribosomal RNA (490 nucleotides) under uncultured bacterium. RNAcentral describes it as "partial 16S ribosomal RNA". It matches the Rfam family "Bacterial small subunit ribosomal RNA", at positions 30 to 507 of the family's 1533-position model. The record is from RNAcentral.